GUGAGUAAUGUGUUGCUGAAUGUUUGA
Molecule: microRNA, 27 nt
Filed under: Anopheles gambiae (African malaria mosquito)
Lineage: Eukaryota; Metazoa; Arthropoda; Insecta; Diptera; Culicidae
Description: aga-miR-10380-5p
Source: miRBase by way of RNAcentral